CCCUUAGAUGUUCUGGGCUGCACGCGCGCUACACUGAUGCAUCCAGCGAGUUGUACCCUUGCUUGGUAAAGUUUGGUAAUCUGAGGCUAAUGUGCAUCGUGAUGGGAAUAGAGUUUUGCAACUAUUAGUCUUGAACGAGGAAUUCCUCGUAAGCACGAGUCAUCAGCUUGCGCUGACUACGUCCCUGCCCUUUGUACACACCGCCCGUCGCUACUACCGAUUGAAUGAUUUAGUGAGGACUUCGGACUGGGACCGAUGCGGCUUUCGGGCUGCGUCGGUAUUCUGGAAAGAUGUCCAAACUGUAUCAUUUAGAGGAAGUAAAAGUCGUAACA
This 332-nucleotide ribosomal RNA is filed under the name uncultured eukaryote. RNAcentral's name for it is "partial 18S ribosomal RNA". It matches the Rfam family "Eukaryotic small subunit ribosomal RNA", at positions 1470 to 1796 of the family's 1831-position model. The record is from RNAcentral.